This 240-nucleotide ribosomal RNA is filed under the name uncultured bacterium. RNAcentral describes it as "partial 16S ribosomal RNA". The record is from RNAcentral.
CUGCUGCCUUCCGUAGGAGUCUGGGCCGUAUCUCGGUCCCAAUGUGGCCGUUCAACCUCUCAGUCCGGCUACUGAUCGUUGCCUUGGUAGGCCAUUACCCCACCAACUAGCUAAUCAGCCGCAAGCUCAUCUAUCAGCGAAUUGCUUCUUUCCCACUAGGUUCAUGCGAACCCUAUGGCAUAUGCGGUAUUAGCAGUGAUUUCUCACUGUUAUUCCCCUCUGAUAGGCAGAUUUCUUACG